RNAcentral lists this long non-coding RNA (16828 nucleotides) under Lactuca sativa (garden lettuce). Its description in RNAcentral is "long non-coding RNA (LSAT_LNC005256)". Lineage: Eukaryota; Viridiplantae; Streptophyta; Magnoliopsida; Asterales; Asteraceae. The record is from RNAcentral.
UUCUUUAUAUAGUAUGUUACAAUUAGGGUUACACCAUGUAAACCCUAAUUGUCAUGACCUUUCAUUUCCAUCACCCAUGGGUUAUGUAACCCCCAUGGAGCAUCUUAUGGGUUUAACCCAACUUGAUAAUCCAUGGAGCCUUAGCCCAGUAUAUAAGUUAUGGAUGAUUGACACAAUCAACCCAUAUAUUUAAUUAGUCUUCUUUUGAUCACAUAAUUAAUUCUAAAUUAAUUAUUGAUCAAUACUAACUAAAUAUUAUUAUUCUUAUUAUUAAUAUAUUAGAACUUAUAAUAUAUUAAUAAACCAUAAGUGUCUUAUUUCUCUCAUUUAGUCUAUCCAAGUGCAUGAUGCCAAGCAACCCAAAUGGACCAUGCCGGGUCGGGUUAAGUACAUACCAAAUAUAGUUAUGGACUUAGACACUAUAUCCAAUAGUCUCCCACAUGGAUAAGUCUAAUAACAAUAGUUGCAAGUAUGACUUCAGGAACCGAUCAGCAAUCGUAGCUCUUUCAAGGUCUCUCGAAACUGAGAAGAUGAUGGUGUGCCAUUUUAGAUAAGUGAUCAUAUAAUCCUCUGUUCUAGAUAUCAGUCGGACAAAGACAUGGAACAAUGUCUUUCUAUUGUCUAGCAGUUGUUUCCUGAUUUCCGAUUUGUUUGACAUAGAACUUAAUUGAACACAUCAAUUCAGUUCUGACCGGGCUCGGUACAUGGUUCAAAACAAAAUCAUCGAGGGGCCCAGAUAUCGCUUUUAAUCUAAGAAGGAACAAAUAAACUUUGAAUCAUAUGUUUGCUCUACUACUUGUUGAAUUACACACAAAGGUACGUUUUAUAACAUCGAGUUACCAAUGCGUUUUCGUACAAUCAAUGCAUAACCAACUCAUAGGUAACAAAUCAUUUGUCUAGGUUUGAAGACUUAUAUGAUAUUACCGUCUCACGAUCACUCGAGAUAAAUUCCAUGAAGUGAUACCAGUGAGCGUGGGUUGAAUCCAAUAUUCAGAACUUAUGAGAACUUAUGAGUGUUGUAGCCCCCUUUGUCCAACAUCUUGGACCUCUACAAACCAACCCAUGACAGUCUUGAUUCAUAUGUACUUCCAACAUAUGAUUGACUGUGGAGAAUUUGAAUAAUAUGAUAUAUACCAUAACAUAUUUAUUCUAGAAGUCAAAACAUGCAAAAAGAAAUACUAGUAAAUGAUUGACAAGAGAUAGUAACACUUUACUCAUAAAUAACAACUUUUAUUUAUCAUCAAAUGUCAAUUACAUUUUACAUAUUUCAAAAAUUACUAACCUCUAAAACUAAUAUCAUCUCUUAGCCCUAUGAUCCUAGCAUGCUGAAGAUGCUUAACCCUAUUCAGUCCCUUCGUGAGGGGAUUUGUCGGGUUCUCAUCUGAUGAUACCUUCUUUGCCACGAGAAUUCCUUCUUUUAUUUGAUGUCUGAUGAAAUGAUAGUUUUUUUCGAUGUGCCUGGAUCUCCCGUGAUCCCUUGGUUCCUUUGCUAACGCAACUGCACUUUCAGUAUCACAAAAAAAUUCCAUGGGCUCUUUAAUAGCUGGUACAACUCCAAGGUCUCCGAUGAAAUUCCUUAGCCAUAUAGCCUCCUUUGUUGCUUCACUUGCUGCUAUAUACUCUGAUUCACAAGUGGAAUCAGCCACUAUAUCUUGCUUGGAACUUUUCCAAGUAAUUGCCCCUCCAUUUAGGGUAAAGACCCAGCCCAACUGAGAGCGAAAAUUAUCCCUAUCAGUCUGAAAGCUAGCAUCACUAUACCCUGCUACUUUCAAGUCAUCACUCCCACCAAGGGUAAGGACCCAGUCCUUAGUCCUUCGCAGGUACUUGAGAAUAUUCUUUACUGUAGUCUAGUGAGCCUUGCCAGGAUUACUCUGAUAUCUGCUAGCCAUGCUUAAAGCAAAAGCAACAUCAGGACGAGUACAAGUCAUAUCAUACAUGAUCGAGCCUACAACGAAAGCAUAUGGGACUCGACCCAUCUAAGCUAUCUCUUCAUCUGUACUCGGGCUCUGAGUUUUACUCAGUCUGGCAUUACACUGAAUAGGUAAAUCUCCUUUCUUGGAAUUUUCCAUACUAAACCUCUUCAGCACUUUGUCCAAGUAGGUACUCUGUGACAACCCGAAAUUUCCAUUUGGUCAAACCCUAAAACUCAACCACUUCGUAUCAUAAAUUAAUGUCAUUAUUUCUUAUUUUUAAGAAAUAUAAAGUUCGUCUGAUUAUUUUAAUAUUAUUUUUAAACGAACGGGUGAAAGAAAGUGCCGUCUCGGGUUUUGAAUUUUAAAAACCACAAACACUUCGCGUAUUAGAAACACCCGACCAAACUUUUAUGUUUUGGGUUGAGAAAUCACCCAAAACCGUGAACUCAUACCUAUGUAUGAGUUUACUCCCCAAGAAGUUGGUCAUUUGUGUUUACUCCCCAAAAGUCAAAAGAGUAAACUCCAAAAACUCUCUCAAGUAUCAUCCAAGAUUUAAUUCCAAACCUUCAAUCUUGUAGGUGUUCUAACCAUUUUAAGUUAGUAAAACACUUAAUCUAGUGUUUAUACAUCUAAUCAUCCACUCAUAUGUGUAUUUUGACUAGAUUUCCAAAACACCAAGAACACACUAAGUGUUCUUGGCCUUUUAGCUCAAAUCAAGCCUUCGAAUAGUAAGUGCUUCCAUCCUUGAGUUAUUUUAAGCUAGUAGUACAUAUGAACAUCAAGAAAUUAUGUCAAGAACACAAGGCUAGAGGUGUUUACGGUCCAAGGAGAUGCUUGGACCGUAAACACCAUAAAUGACACCAAAGUGUGCCUAAACCUCUANACACCAAAGUGUGUCUAAGCCUCAAAUCUAAGUCCUAGUUGAUGUAUAAACCAAUCUUGACAUGUUUAAACCUUGAAAAACAUCAAAAACCAACAAUCAUAGGUGUUUACGGUUUGGGGAUCUCCCAAAACCGUAAACACCCUAAAGUGGGUUUAAGUUGGUCAUUUUCCUUCCUUAGGCUUAGAAACUAGCACAUACACUUACCUAAUUGUGUUAAGGACUUGAAAACAUGGCAAUACCCUUCUCCAUAAGGGUUUACGGUAGUAAACCCAAAGGAAAAUGCCAUGAGGUCGUAAACUCCUCAAAGGGGGUGUUUUGUUGCCCUAGUCCAUACCAAAGGCCAAACCACUUAGUAGAAAUGCUUCAAUAGGCUUGCUAAACCUCAAAACAACACUUGGUCAUUAGGACUAGAGUUUACGACUGUAAACUCUAGAGUUUACUACCGUAAACUCCCUAGGUAUUGACCAUCAAAACCGUAAACUCCAAGGGAGUUUACCCUUGGACUCCAAACACACUAGCUUUGCCCUACCAACACUCGGAUGCAAUCCUUGUGAUCUUUAACACUUGAAACAAAUUGUUUUCAUGUUCUAGGGUGUCCCAACUUAUUAAUUAGUUGUAAUUUGUCUAAUUAGUUAUAUAUAUGUUCAUUAUAUGAUAAUUAGGCUCGUGCGUGUGUACAAGUCUUCAUUUGUCACCUAGCACCGUAUCCGACACUUCCAUCCGAUCCACUCACCACAUGUGAGUUCAUACCCCUUUAAUUAACCUUUGAAAUACUUUUAAAUGUUUUAAAUGCUUUUAUGGGUGGGGGGGGAAUACAAGUUGAAUACUUAUAGUUAUUACAUCAAUCACAUGUGAUUAAUAACUACAAAACCAAUGAUUUUACUACUAUUCAAACUGUUUCUCAAACUGUUUUACUUCAAACUGCUUUACAAACUCUUUUACUUAUCAAAUACUUGUACUUAAACUUUGUUACACUUAUUAUAAAUUGCAUGCCCGUAUAUGUAUAGUUAUAUAAGCAAUGUUUAACAGACUUAGGAAGGUCGUCCGCCCUGUUUCCUUUUCCUCGAUUUGGAUGUGGUCUGGUGGGAUAUCGGGUAGCCGUCCGAAGGUCGUUUCAACAUUAAUUAUAUAUCAUGUGUACAUAUAUAGACAUAAAAGUGCUUCUAUAUUCAUGCGUACUAGUUACAUCAUUAGUAAGUUACCAUCGGGGUAGCACAGGAUCAUACUUAUACUAUUGCUAGAUCAAUGAGUCAGUUCAUUCAUGAGUCAAUACUUAUUACUAUGAGAACAUAUACAUUACAUUACUAUGAGUACAUAUACAACUAUACUAUGAGAAGAACAUAUACAACUAUACUAGAGGAAGAACAUAUACAACUAUACUAGAAAGAGAACAUAUACAACUAUACUAGAAAGAGAACAUAUACAACGAUACUAGAACGAGUAACAAUACAUUACAUAUACAUAUAUACAUUGACAAAAUUGUGAUCCACUGUAUCGGAGCAUGCCUUAAAUGUCAUGGCCCGAGUUGUAGCCAGAGUCUCUUGGAGGGAGAGCGUGAGUUUGCGUAUAGAUCUAUACUGGAUUGACUAUCCUACACCUUGCUGCUAGCUACAGCCGGACCUGCAGGUCUGCGGGUGCCAAAUGUCAUUUCUUUUUACGACCAUACCUUUUGUCGUUGUUACCAGUCGAUAGUAUGGUACAAUUAAUCACAUGAUACCUUAAUAUAAAUCCGGUUUAAGGUAGUUAGUACAACAGUAGUUCCUAUAAUACAACACUACAGUACUACAGUAAUUUACCCUUUACAUAUAUUUAGUGAUUAUUUCACUUAAACAUGAAUGUACAAACUAUAUUUUGUUAAUGAUAGUUACACUUGGGAAAUUACACACUUUUACAAUAAACGAACAUACAAAACAGUUACGCCUUGGUAGAAGGCUACUUUUAAUAGAAAAUAUAGGUUUUUCUGAGAGAUUCAAACUUUUACAAACACUUACAAACAUUUACAUACUUUUAUCACCAAUGUUUACAAACUCAUGCUUAGAACCAUGUUCAAACGUUUGAUACAAACACCGACACUAAAAUACUUAUGAACUCACCAGCUUAAUGUUGAUAAACUCCUUCAAAAAAACUUGUAUUCUCAGGUCGACAGUAGACAGGUACCGAGGCCAGCUUUUGAGAAGAUGGAGCGCAUCCAAGACUCAUCUUAUUAUUUUGAUUUACAUUUUUUUGGUGUCUAUAACUGUACGGAACACAUUUGUCUUAAAAUUAUAUAUUUAAUGCAAUGGAUGAUGUUGUUUGCUUAUUUACUGUUAUACUGUGUUGUGAUACUUUACAUGACGUCCUCCGCCCCAGAACGUUUCUGCCGUUCUUGGUUUUGGGCUGUGACAUAAUCUGACUAAGUCCAAUUAGUCUUUUACUCCUGUUUCUCAAAAUCUUUAUCUAGAGGAUAUAGGCAGCUUCUCCUAGGUCUUUCAUAGAGAAACACUUCCCAAGCCAGGAUUUCACUUCCUGCAAGGUUGGGAUGUCAUUUCCUAUGAGCAGUAUGUCAUCCACAUACAGUACCAAAAAGCUAACUAUACUCCCACUAGCCUUGACAUAUAUACAAGAUUCAUCUUCACAUCUCGAAAAGCCAAACUCUUUGACUUUCUCAUCGAAGCAAAGAUUCCAUCUGCGAGGUGCUUGUUUCAAUCCAUAUAUGGAUUUUUCAAGCUUACACACCCUAUUAGGGUAUUCUGUACUUACAAAACCCUCUGGCUGAACCAUGUAAACAUCCUCAGCCAACUUUCCAUUAAGGAAAGCGGUUUUAACAUCCAUUUUCCAUAUUUCAUAAUCAUGAAAUGCAGUAAAGGCUAACAGAACCCUAAUAGACUUAAUCUUGGCCACUGGUGCAAAGGUCUCAUCAUAAUCAACUCCCGGAGUUUGAGAAUAACCCUUUGCAACCAGUCGUGCCUUAUAAGUGUGUACAUUACCAUCCAUGUCGGUCUUCUUCUUGAAGAUCCAUUUGCACCCUACUGUCUUACGACCUGGUACAUUGUCAACCAAGUUCCAAACUUGAUUGUCAUACAUGGAUUGUAUCUCGCUGUCCAUAGCCUCUUUCCAUUUAGCAGACUCAGGGCCUGCCACAGCUUCCGUGUAGCUGUUAGGCUCUUCCAGAUUUAUCAGUUUAUUAUCGAUGAUAAGAGUAUCACCUUCUGCAGUAAUAUGGAAACCAUAAUAAUGCUCAGGUGCAUUCCUAACUCUGGUGGAAAGCCUCAGAGGUAUGGACUCUUCAGUCGGAUCAAUAGGAGUUUCCUCCUAUUGAUAGUCCAUGGAGUGUUUAACCCAUGGAUCAUAUGAAAUGAAAGGUUAUGGGUUUAACCCUAGUCUCUACACUAUAUAAAGAUGUCCUUGGUUGGUGAAAUGGGCACUGGUGUAGGUACACUAAGAGGGCUAGCCGAUUUCACUAGAGAGAACCAAAGUAUCCUUAUUCUCAAGGUUAUUCCAAGUGUUCAUGGUGUUGUGUGAACCAUUUGAGGUGUCACACUUGGGGCACUAGGCACUCAAGCUUCAUGAAGACAAGCUACAUCAACAAGGUAUGUCUUCUAACUUGUUUUAUUACCCAAGUAUCAAAGAUUGUAUGCUAGAUUGGGUAAUACCUUGGAAUUUUCAUAUUUUCAUGUAUAAUAGAGAAAACAUAGAUCCAAGGUAUUUAGGGUUGCAAGUACACCAUAGGAGUGUUAGAAUGUUCAAAUCCCAACAGAUAUAACUAAAAGAUUUAUGUGGGUAGCCAAUGAAAAUACACCUCUCACUUCGAGGUUCGAGCUUGUCGUGAGUCUCGCGUCUCACGAAAGCCUCAACUCUCCCUUCAUUAAAAGUAUUAAUGAUAAAUACUAAGUAACUAAACGCUUAGUAAUACCCAAUCUUAGUUACUUAGGAAAAUGUGAAUUUGGUGCUAAUCCAUGAAAUUACACUUUGCGCUAUGUUUAAGUCGGUUAGUGGAGCAUGUGUGGUUAUCCGGCACACUAACUCGUAUUUAACAAGGUAGGCAAAGGUAACUUAAUGUUUAUCAUAGUAUCGGUGGAGCGUGUGUGGUUAACCGGCACAUCGAUUGAGGGGUAAAAAUUAAGGUUACCAAGUAUAUUUGCAUGGUUAUUCACACCUUGUUUUGUGAUCCUCGGCAUCCCAAUCACAAAACUUGAAGGGCACACUCGAGAUUGAAACAUGUCAUUGAAAAGUUCAAUGAAUGUCAAAAGAAUCUAGGAGUUUCAAAACCAAUUAAAACCUAAUAAUACAUUUCGCUUAUCUUGGUGGAAAUUGGUGAAUCGUCAUUCACCUACCUUCAAAUAUUUUAUAGCUUGGAUUAAGGCAUCCCUCUUCCAAGUUAUAAAAUAGUUUGUUGGGUCCUAACCUUAAUAUUUCAUAUUGGGUGUUAUAUUAAGGACUUUAGAUCAACUAUCUUGAAUAUCUCCGAAAAGAUGUCUAAUUUAGACAUCAAUGAUCUUCCCAAAUCUCUUGGAACUUCACUUCCUCCAUCUCGUCCAAUUAUUCUCCCUAACCCACAAGUUCAAGGUCACUCAAGCCCUAUUGGCAAGCAAACUCUAUGUGUGCUCACAUCUUGGAGAUGAAGUCACAUAUUGACAAGCCGGGAGAGUUGGGUGUCAAAGUCUUAAGAAAGUUGGAUGUUCAAUCACUUUCUAAGUCACAUAGUGAGUUACCUUUGGGACUACUAUGAAAUAGACUAUGACAUGACCCUAAAUGAUCUUAUCUAUUUUCUUGGUACUGCUGAAUCAGCAAUGAUUUGGAGCUUUGGUAAAGCAAAUUUGAUUAGUAGAUCAACUUCCCAAACCUUCAAUGGACAUUGACAAUGGUUGCAUUAGAUACCCAGUAAAAGCAUUCUCUUCCCAAUUGAAAGGGAUUAGCCAUAGUCAACUCAGUUGACCAAAUGGUAAAGAGAAAGGCUAAGUCUGAGAUUGUCCCAUGUAUCAUUCCCAAAGGGUCCAUAUGGUUCUAUUGCCAAAAGGAAAUGGCAUUGGUUGCGAAGCUGCCAAAUUUACCUGAAAGAUCAUAAGGCUGGUAAAGUUAAUAAAUUUGACUCUACUAUAGGUAAAGUCCACUAUCUAACUCGAUUAAGUUUCUAUUCUUAGAUUCUUAUUACAUGAUGUGACUGGGUCAUAUGUUGAUGUUUUAAGAAUCAAAAGAAAAGUGAAGAAACUUAAAGGAAGAGUAUGUUGAAUCUGAUCGCGAAGAUGGAUUUCUAUCGCUUGAUUGACGAUUGGAUUCUUGAGCUACUUCUUAGGAGUUAUGAUAUAUUGCUUAGGAAUAGAUAACAACAAAGUUUUCAUGUGCUUUUGCACUGUAAGGAUAGUUUUUCCGCAAAGUUUUUAAAAUAAAAAGGGAAAUUUUGAUUUUAUUUUAAAAUAUCCUUACAUUGGCAUUUGUGAAAAUUUUGUUACUUAUAUGAUUCCAUUAAUAGCAAGAGUGGAAAUAUGAAUUUGAUUCUUUCAUUUGUGGUAGUGUCUAAAUUUACCAAAUAAGAAAAGCUUCUCAUCACCCAAGUUUCAGUUGGAUAGAAACUUGGAAUCAUGCAAGCUGUAUAGCAUGAUGAAUGAGAACUUUCAAGCAUUGGAAAAUUAAGACUAACUACUUGUUCACAUGGAUGUUUGAGUCAAGUAAAGGACUAAGGGAUCGAGUACACAUUCUUGUGCACUGAUCAAGUCCACCACAACAGAUCGAUAAGACUAUUCGUAAUAAUUUACUAAAGCUCAGUAAAUGUGGUUAUACUUACAAGCUUAAGUGUAAUUUUGAGACAUUGGAAAAGGUUCCAAUGUAUGGCAGAGCGAAUAAGAAGAAUCAACUUAGGCAUAAAGAUAAAAGUUUCUCAAAUCUGAAAAGAUGGGAGAGUACUUUAGCAUCAUGUUUUGUGAUCAUCUUAAUGAUCACAAAAUCAUGUAACAAUUAGUCCUCUAAAGUCAUCUUAGUGUAUUCUUAUGACUAAGAAGAGGAAUCUUGAAUUGUUUAAAUGAUUAAAUCAAGAAGAUGAGUCAUGAUUCGUUCCAAAAACAAUUCUUAGAGUUAUACUCCAAGAUUGUAACUUGAGUGACACAUCUUAAAUAAGGUUUAUUAACACUGGUCAAAUGUAAGAGUAAAAGGUUUUCUACUCUUGUACAUUUGAAAUUGGUAAGUUGUGAUGUUUUGGAUAAAACAAAGACCAACUAAGGCUAAUUGUGUGAAGUGUUUGUCUUGAUUAGAAUCCACACUGUCUCUUGAAUAUCUGACAAGAAAGUCUUAUAUUUCAAGAGGACAGUAGGAGUCUAAAAGAAUCUUGAAAGGGUUUCAAGAAGUAAUCAAGAAGAAAAACUUGCAUUUCAUUACUAGCACACAACUAGAGGUUUAUAACCUAUCGUGUUGACAUUUCUGUGCCCAUUCCAGUUAAGUUGGCUAUACAUUUGAGUUCUACAAGUUCUCAAUUGUUUGCAUAACUACUUGGAAGCAAUGGCAGACCCUUGAGCUGCCAGGUGGCAAGAAAUUAAGAUUGAGUUCAGUCCAUAUGAGUUUGGACUUGUCAUUAUCAUUGUCUUGUGAUUAUGGUUUUGAAAAAUUCAUGUGGAUAAGAACACAUACACCAUAAAAUCUAAGGGUCAUAAGGUUUCUCUCCGAUUCAUGAAAAUGAUGGUGAGGAAACACUUCCACCAAGUAGAUUUGAAGCAGAUAGCAAAGGUCUAAACAAUUGAGACUAUGAUUACGACAUCCCUUUUCAUAGUUCUGAAAUUGUUUAGACACACCUGUGAGCUAUCUAAGAGAGGUGUAUGAUUUUGAUAAAGUCUUAUCAAACCAAUCUAGUAUCAGAAAUCUGAACUUUGGUAAGAAAGUCAAUAAAGUAUUGACUUCUAGAAGUCCAGCUAAUUUCUGGAUACAUGUCAAAGCUAGUGGGAGCAUAAGUGUUAUGCUAAUAAUCAUCAUGUUAGUGGGAGCAUGAUAAUUAUGAUAAAGGUUGCAAGUUAGCAAUGUUAAUUAUAGAAAACAAAAGUUUCAAUUCGUUAAGUUGCAAGGGUUGAAAAGUUGUUUUGCUAUAAUUAAGGGAGAGGAAAUUAUACUUCAUUUCAAUUCUAAAGCUUAGAUUGAGGUUUUAAUCAUCUUUAGUCAAGGAUAUAUAUGAAUUUUGUGUUGGAAUGGCUCAACAUAAGUAAAUUUUAUAUAUGGGUCUAUUAUUUGCGUUCUAAAAUUCGAUUAUGAUUACGACAUCCCUUUUCAUAAUCUGAAUUAUGAGAACUUGGGAAAUAGAAAUAUUGUAGCAAAAGGACUAGUCCAGUAUCAUGUCUUUAUGUGAGACAUCAUGAAUCGUGUCCCAUAUGCUUCGGAUAUAGGAUCGAUUGCAUGUGCUAUAAUAUUUAUCCUUUCUAAAUUUUUCCAAAUGCCUAGGGCAUUAAGAGGGAAAAGGUCUAGAAUUGGAUAUGACUAACAUGAUUAAGCAAUUGUCGACGACAAUCUAAGGUUUACCGAUGAUUGGUUGCUCAGGGAUAGUUGGAAGUAUAAUGUUAAUUUUGGAAGGACCAUAUUGACAUAUUUUGAAAAGAGGCAACUCUUGUUCAGAAGUGAUCGUCAAAAUGGGAAUAUGGAGUUGUCUCCGUAGAUAGAAGCAAUCUGUGUAAGAUUAGAAAAACUUAGUGUAAGAAGCAUGUUCAAAGCAAUGAAUACUUUGAACAUAAGGUUUUGUGUCCAUGGAGUAGGUCUUCAUUGGAAUACUCGGUAAUGGUUGUUGGCAAGUCUUUGUGACUUUGUACACAUUCAUUGCAAGAGGUUAGUGUUUUAAGUUUAAAAUCUAACAGAUUUCGAUUUGGGAGUGUGAAAUUAGAAUCAUUGAAAUUAUGUUCAAUUGGUUUAUUUCACAAAGUAAGGAUCAUAGACAAACAUAGAGUGCAUACUUGGUGUAUGGCAAAGCUAUUGUUAGAAAAACAUAGUGUACAUUCUUGGAGCAUGGGACAACUAGUGUUUUUUCAAGUAUAAAGUUGAUAAAACCAAAACAAUGAAUAAUGAGUAAUCAAUAUAGUAUUAAAUAAAAGUUGCUUUAUUUAUAUUCAUAGUUUUUGAUACCAUAUCAGAUUCAAUUAUUCUUGUGUUUCAUUUUGCAGGUUUUGACUUCCAAAAUAAACUAGGUCAUUCUUCCCGAAUGACUAAGUUAAUUAUUCAAACCAUCCACAUUCGUUCAUACGUUCGAAGUAGAUAUGAAUCAAGACUGUCAUGGAUUGGCUUGUAGAGGUCUAAGAUGUUGGACAAAGUGGUGCUACAACACUCAUGAGUGCUCAUAAGUUCUGAGUAUUGGAUUCAACCCACGCUCACUGGAAUCACUUCAUGGAUUUUAUCACGAGUGAUCAUCAGGCAAUAAUAUCUCAUAUUCUUCAAACCUAGAGAUAUGAGUUGUUACUAUGAGUUGGUUGUACAUUGAUUGCACGAAAACACAUUGGUAACUCGAUGUUAUAAAACGUGCAUUUGUGUAUGAUUCAACAAGUAGUAGUACAAUCCAUAUGAGUCAAAGCUUAUCCAUUCCUUUUACCUUUGGGAUAAAAGCGAUAUCUGUGGGCCCCUCGAUGAUUUAAUGAUGAUACAUGUGAGUGCUUGGCCAAGCCAGGACUGAUUUGAUUUGUUCAAUCAGCCAGUCAUCAUAAAUCGAAAAUCGGGAAACAACAAAUGGACAGAGAGAAUGAUUUAUAAUCCAUGUCUCAGUCCAUAUGAUAUCUAUAAUGGAGGAAUAUAUGAUCCUUUAUCUAAUGGACAAGUCAUUGACAAGAUCAGAGUUCAGUUAACACGUUAGAGUUCGACAGAAGCUUUUGAGAGCUACGAUUGCUAGUUGGGUUUUGAAGUCAUACUCAAUAAUAGUUUUAGACUUAUCCAAGUGGGAGACUAUUGGAUUAAUGUCUAAGUCCAUAACUAUAAUUGAUAUGACUUGACCCGACCCGGCAUGGUCCAUUUGGGUUGCAUGGCAUCGGGACAAUUGGAUAGACAACAUGAGGAAAAAAGAUACUAGUGAUAUAUAUUAAUAUAUUAUAAGUUCUAAUAUAUUAAUAUAUAAUCAUAUUAUUUAAUUAGUAUUGAUCAAGAAUUAAUUUAUAAUUAAUUAAGUGAUCAAAAGGAACUAAUUAAAUAUGGACUCUUAGAUAUAUAUNNNNNNNNNNNNNNNNNNNNNNNNNNNNNNNNNNNNNNNNNNNNNNNNNNNNNNNNNNNNNNNNNNNNNNNNNNNNNNNNNNNNNNNNNNNNNNNNNNNNNNNNNNNNNNNNNNNNNNNNNNNNNNNNNNNNNNNNNNNNNNNNNNNNNNNNNNNNNNNNNNNNNNNNNNNNNNNNNNNNNNNNNNNNNNNNNNNNNNNNNNNNNNNNNNNNNNNNNNNNNNNNNNNNNNNNNNNNNNNNNNNNNNNNNNNNNNNNNNNNNNNNNNNNNNNNNNNNNNNNNNNNNNNNNNNNNNNNNNNNNNNNNNNNNNNNNNNNNNNNNNNNNNNNNNNNNNNNNNNNNNNNNNNNNNNNNNNNNNNNNNNNNNNNNNNNNNNNNNNNNNNNNNNNNNNNNNNNNNNNNNNNNNNNNNNNNNNNNNNNNNNNNNNNNNNNNNNNNNNNNNNNNNNNNNNNNNNNNNNNNNNNNNNNNNNNNNNNNNNNNNNNNNNNNNNNNNNNNNNNNNNNNNNNNNNNNNNNNNNNNNNNNNNNNNNNNNNNNNNNNNNNNNNNNNNNNNNNNNNNNNNNNNNNNNNNNNNNNNNNNCCACUGUCUCCUUGGCUUAUGAGUUCUCUCUCUCGAAAGACUCCUCUUCUUGCUACAAAGACCACAUUGUCACUGGGUCUGUAAAAGAUAUAACCAAAAGAUUUAUGUGGGUAGCCAAUGAAAAUACACCUCGCACUUCGAGGUUCGAGCUUCUCGUGAGUCUCGCAUCUCACGAAAGCCUCACAACCCCAAACCUUGAUGUGGUCUAGAUUUGUAACUUUUUCAGUCCACAUCUACCUUCUUUGUAGGGACUAUGUUAAGGAUAUGGGCGGCAGUCUCUAAGGCAUGCCUCCAAAAUGAGAUUGGUAGCGAAGCUCNAAGCUCGACUCAUCAUGGAACGAACCAUAUCCAACAAGGUUCGAUUACGCCUCUCAGCUACACCAUUAAACUGUGGUGUCCUGGGAGGUGUCAAUUGUGUGUCAAUCCCACAUUCCUUAAGAUAGUCAAGGAACUCUGUACUAAGAUACUCACCACCUCGAUCAAAUCAAAGCAUCUUAAUGUUCCUGCCCAACUGAUUCUCCACUUCUUCUUUAAACUCCUUGAACUUUUCAAAGGUUUCUAACUUAUGCUUGAUUAAGUAGACAUAUCCAUAUCUACUAUAAUCAUCAGAAAAAGUAACUUAGAAGAGGAUAGCAUCCCUUGUGGCGGUUAUGAAGGGUCCACACACAUCAGUAUGUAUGAGAUCCAACAAACCCUCACCCCUAGCACAAGUGCCAGUAAAAGGUGACUUUGUCAUUUUUCCAAGUAGACAGGAUUCACAACUAUCAUCCGACUUUAGAUCGAAUGAUNAAGACUCCAUCCUUUUGGAGUUGGCCUAUGCGUUUCUUGCUUACAUGUCCAAGACGACAAUGCCAUAAAGAUUCUUUAUCUAAGCUAGUGGAAGAAUCGAUACACAAUACAUUAUUUCCUAAGUUAUCUACAACAGAUACAGUUUCAUACACACCAUCACAAGGUAAUGCUUUAAAAUAAAGAACACUAUUAUAGAAAGCAUCAAUACCACCACUUUUAUUAUCAAAAUAAAAGGUGAACCCUUGUUUAUAUAAUGCAUGAAAGGAAAUAACAUUUCUUACCAUUUCUGGCGAAUAACAACAUUUAUUCAAGUCUAAUGUAAGCCCACUAUCUAGUAACAAGUAAUAAACUCCAAUCUAGGUGACAGGUGAAACUUUCCUAUUCGCCAUGAUUAGGUUUAUCUUUCCAUGUUCCAAAUCCUCACUUCUUCUUAGUCCCUGCACAUCAGAACAUAUGUGAAUUCCACAACCUGUAUCAAGGACCCAAGACUUAGAAUGAGGUGAGUUAUUAGACAAUAUAGUGUAUAUACCUGCAUGGUUGGGUGUUACUUUCCCAUCCUUCAAAUAUUGCUAGUACUUUGGGCAGUUUCGCUUCCAGUGCGACUUUUCAUGGCAAUAAAAGCAUUCAGCCUCAUUAGGGUUAGCAGAAGGAGUGACAAAACCUUUAUUGGUUUUGCUUGAAGAUGAGCCUUCAAGGGUCUUACCCUUGGUAUCCUUAGAAGAUUUCUUUCUCUUCUUACCUUUGCCAUGCCCGAUUGCCAAGACAUUGGCCGCAGUAGGAGUAGGAGGAGUAGUAACAUCCGACUUACCCUUAAGACUACUUUCUGCAGUCUUUAAGAGUCCUUGAAGUUUACUAAGUGUAACUUCUUCCUUAUUCAUGUGAUAUAUCAUUCUAAAUCGAUCAUAACAUGAAGGUAAGGAGUGCAAAAUGAUAUCUAUUGCUUACUCCUCAGGAAAGUCAACAUUCAGUUUCUUCAAGUGAUCCACAAACCUUUGCAUUUUCUGUAAGUGCGUCGUGAGGGACUCAUUAUCCUUCAUUUUGGUGGUUAUCAUGGAGGAGAUUAUUUUAUACCUCUCUUAACGAGUACUUUGAUGGUAUCGCUCCAUCAAGUCCAUGUGCAUCUCAAAAGGGUAAUAGUCCUCAUAGGACUUUUAGAGCUCAGUUGUCAUUGUGGCAGUCAUGAUACAAGCUACUUUGGUAGCAUCCCUUUCAUGUGCUUGAAAUGCAGCAAUCUCCUCUGGGGUAGCAGUUGACUCAUCAAUCUCCUUCAGCUCCCUAUCAAGGACAUAUUCUUUGUCCUCAUAGGGAGUGACCAUCCUGAUGUUUCUGAUCCAAUCCAUAAAAUUGGAUCCAUCAAAGAUGACUCUCCCACAAAGGUUCAUGAGAGAAAAGGAGCCAGUAUGGUUUGAGCCAAAAGCAUUGUUAUUGAAAGACAUCUGAAAUGAAAGAAUAAGUUUAGAUUAGAUUUCAGGAUAGUCCUUAAUAAAGCACAGAAAUGCUAUAUUAAGGCUAGGACCCAACACAAUAUUUUAUAACUUAGAAGAGGGAUGCCGUAAUCCAGGCUAUAAAAUAUUUGAAGGUAUGUGAAUGACGAUUCACCAAUUUCCACCAUAAAACGAAAUAAAUCUUAUUAGGUUUUAAUUGGUUUAGAAAUUCCUAGGUUCUUUGAAAUUCAUUGAACUUUUCAAUGGCAUGUUUCAAUCUCGAGUGUGUCCUUCAAGUUUUGUGACUGAGAUGCCGAGGAACACAAAACAAGGUGUGAAGUAACCAUGCAAAUUACUUGGUACACUUAAUGUAUUACCCCUCAAUCAAAGUGCCAGUUAACCACACACGCUCCAACGAUACUAUGAUAAACAUUAAGUCACCCUUUCCAUACCUUGAUAAGUCCAAGUUAGUGUGUCAGUUAACCACACAUGCUCCACUAACGACUUAAUCAAAGUGCAAAUUGUAACUUCACGGAUUAGCACCUUAUUCACAUUUUCCUAAAGUAACUAAGAUUGGGAAUUAAUAAAAGUUUAGCUACUUUAGUAUAUUCAUAAUACUUAUUAUGAGAAUUAUAGUCCUUGUUCUACCUUUUCGGCUAACGACCCUCCACCGAUCAAGGAAACGGUGGGUGAGAUUAGACACCCAUUAAGUUGUCAUUUUAUAGUAAACAACCUUAUACCCCCCUUAUAGACCGGCUUCAUGAAUGAGGCCUACUAAUGGUAAAACGACUUUUAUCUUAGACAUAUAUAAUUAUUAUUCACUUAUAAUAUUAUAGAGUAUAAGGGUUGAAUUUUAAUAUUUAAAAUUCUAGGGUUGGAACUAAAGUUUUAAUUAUGACUUUACUUGCUCUAAAACUUGAGGGCAAGUUUUGUAAACUUUCAAAACUUUUCAUUUCUCAUAGCUUAUGAGUUUAUUAGAGUAUUAAAAUGAAGACUCUUCAUUUUCAUAACUCUUGUGUUCUUUUAAUGGUUUUAAUUCAAGUGUGACUCUUAGUUUCUCCAUAACUUGAGGACAAGUUAUGGACUCCAUUAAAACACAUAAUGAUCAAGAAUUAACUAACAUGGAGGUUACAAAUAAUUCCUAUGAUCAUCUAAAUUCAUAAGUUCAAUAACAUGAUUAUCAAGAAUUUCAAGAAUCAUAACAAACUUAUAUAAAACGUGUAAUUUUUUAUAAUAUCCAUUGUAAAUGCAUUAGCAUAAACAUUACACCAACUAAAACAAGUUUUAAAACACCAAAAUAGUUUAGGGUAAUGUUUCUAGUCCAUUUCCAGCACCAUAACUCGAAAAUCUGAACACUGCAGCAUGUACUCGUCGACUGCAUGAACUGACUCGACGAGUUGCAUGCAUUUCUUCAUGGACUCGUCGAGUCUCCCCUUGUACUUGGCGAGUUCAUGCAGGCAGUGAACAAAAAACUGCGUUUUUCAGCUAUUUUGCAUCAAGUAUCAAACAAACAAGCCUAUGCUCUGAUACCACUGUUGGGUUUUGAGCAUUCUAACACUCCUAUGGUGUACAUGCAACCCUAGAAACCUUUGAUCUAUGUUUGACUAAUAUACAUGCAAAAUGAUUUUCCAAGGUUUAUAAUCCUAUCUAGCAUACAUGGAGAUCUUUUAUUCUAAUAGUUAGUAAGAAUUACAUAGCUCUUUGUAGCUUGGAUUCCUUUGAAACCUUGUGAGCCUAGCACCUCAUGUGUGAUGACUCAAAUGCUUCACACAACACCAAGUACACUUGGAAUAAACUCUUAAGAGAAUAAGAACACUUAGUAUUUUCGACUAGCCCUCUUUUAUUCACUCUAGUGGCCGAAAAUGGUGAAGAAUAGCUUCUUUAUAUAGUAUGUUACAAUUAGGGUUACACGAUGUAAACCCUAAUUGUCAUGACCUUUCAUUUCCAUGACCCAUUGGUUAUGUAACCCCCAUGGAGAAUCCAUGGAGCAUCUUAUGGGUUUAACCCAACUUGAUAAUCCAUGGAGCCUUGGCCCACUAUAUAAGUUAUGGAUGAUUGACACAAUCAAUCCAUAUAUUUAAUUAGUCUUCUUUUGAUCAAAU